This 70-nucleotide transfer RNA is filed under the name Vibrio paracholerae. Its description in RNAcentral is "partial tRNA". Lineage: Bacteria; Pseudomonadati; Pseudomonadota; Gammaproteobacteria; Vibrionales; Vibrionaceae. The record is from RNAcentral.
ACGAUGAAGCGCAAUUUGCUGAGUUACGUACCCUUGGUGAGCUAACCAAAAUAGCUUGGGAAUAUGAUGU